GCCCCCGCCGUUUCGCCCCCGAACCGUUUCGCCCCCGGGAUUUUACCUAACAUUUUUAACUAGUUGCAUUGAAUUACAAAUACAAUCAGGGCCGUCUCAACCCGGGGGUGCAAUGGGUGCGAGGAACCCGGACGCAAAAGUCCAAGGGACGCAAGCCGAACUUUUGCUAGGCUCAAACUUACGCUUUUUGUCCUUUUAAAAUUUUCAAAAUUCUUUAAAAAAAACUACAAAUAACAAAAAUAUACAAGUGCGUUUUCGGUAUUUUUUACAAAGGCUAUUAAUGCUUACUAUUCGCGGUGUGCAAGUACUUGGAAACAUAGAGGUAUAUAUUGACAUAGAGAGAGUGUCAUUCGGAGCGAAGUGACGACACCAUCUUUUUUCUUUGGAUUAGUGCUACUUCACUCUUACACAUAGUAAAGCUGCGACAGUAUGAUAAACGUCAUUUUUAAGUUAGGAGAAGUACGAAGUUAGCUGAUGUCUUUCCUGUUAUUUUUAUUUAGUCACUGUUUACAUUGGACAUUGACAUUUAUUUGUAGAUGUUGUUAGACGAAUAUUCUGUUUGGUUUUGUUUUUUAUUGUUAAUUGUGCAGCGAAAUUGUGAUUGUAAAUUAAAUAUAAAGUUGUUUAUAGCCUACAGAACUGAAUUAUCCCAUAGUAAUUAUCAGUUUGUGUCAAUUUGUUUGUGUGCAAAAAAGAAAAAACACCUUUCCUUGUGUUUGACCGACUUGUAGCAAGGGCUUUCUUGAGAAGCCUGUAAAUUGCGGGAAUAGGACAGACAGGGAUAAAAUCCUCACUUUUUACUGCUCCCAAGGCUAUACAUUUCCCCCAUGCAAUACAUUUAAAUGAAUUUUAUCCAAACAAAGGCAGGAACAUUGGAUAAAAGCAAUAAAGAGAACAGACCACAAAUUAAAAUAUGAGAGUAUGUAGUAAACAUUUUAUAAGUGGAAUAAACACCAGCUAUUUUAAAUGUAGGAAAAGGAGAAACUGCUGGAAUCUAAUUUUACACAAAUGUUUUUGACUAUUGAAGAUUUGGAUAAACAACAGAAGUUACUUUGGGCUAUAGCUAUGUGCAGAUUUAUUUCCUUGUGGAUUACUAUGUUUAUUCUUUUUAACUAUACUUCCUAUAUUGUUUGUGAGAUUAAUAUUAUUAUUUAAUUGAUUAUAUUAAUAUUUUGUAAUAAUAAUCAAUGCUUUGGUUUAACAAAUAGACAACUUAGAAUAGAAAAA
Molecule: long non-coding RNA, 1227 nt
Organism: Diabrotica virgifera virgifera (western corn rootworm)
Lineage: Eukaryota; Metazoa; Arthropoda; Insecta; Coleoptera; Chrysomelidae
Exons: 2
Source: RefSeq, a predicted model, not a curated record